GUCAUAGUUACUCCCGCCGUUUACCCGCGCUUGCUUGAAUUUCUUCACGUCGACAUUCAGAGCACUGGGCAGAAAUCACAUUGCGUCAACACCCGCUGAGGCCAUCGCAAUGCUUUGUUUUAAUUAGACAGUCGGAUUCAGAAUUACCAACUUAAUUUUAUGCCGGUAUAAUACAGUUUUAUCAUAAAACAAUACAAAGAGUAAUUGCGAUAUGUCUAUCUCUUUAAUCUGUUUGUUGCUCUGUGAUUUGUUUGUACUUUUGUAUCAGUGGUACAUAAUCUUAAACAACUUUUUCUAUGGUCCAGUUUGAAAAAACCGGUAGUAGGUAACACGUGCGUAAGUUUGGUUAUAUAGGUUAUGUUUAAAGCUGACUUAUACGGAAAAGAGGUAAACACAAAAGGAAAAGACGAAGGUAAAACUGAAGACGAAUGCCAAAACGAAAUUCCUGCCCAAGGGAAAUGAUGUGACCGAUACAAGUUUUAAAGUGGACACGAUUCUACUGUCUGAGUUGUCAAAGUCUAAGAACAAAGACAUUCUCUCAAGUAAAAAAAGUUUUAUUAUAAAAGACUUGGGUGUUCGAUUGAGACACUAUAAUUACAUCGUCUGACACAGUGCAUACAAAGAAGAAGCUGACAUGCAGAAGCAUUUUCUUGAUAAGAUUAUUUUAAAUCACUUAUGUAUUUUGAUAAAGAAAGUGAUGAUAUUAAUUCAAGAUAGGUGGAAUAGUCUGGAGUUCCAGCUGUAGUAGCAAUCGACAAGCUUGUGGAAUAUGUAUGAAGCAAAAAUGAAGAUGCAUCAACAAAUCACAGUCACAUUCAAUAUUUCUUAGAAGCAGUCCUGUUUAUUGAGUGAAUCAUAACCAAGAUAUUGGAGGAUUGAUUGACUGAUAUAAAUCAUUACACCAUUUACUUUUAGUGCAGUCUUCAUGAUAAUUAAGACUUCAGCUAAUGAAAUUUGAAUCACAAUGAACAUUGUAUGAAGGAUUUUCCAGAAGCAAUCAUUUUAUGCAGUUUUGAAAUUUAUGGAACCAAUAUCAAAUUUAAUGUUGGGGUAUGUUUACUUAUAUUUUUUUAAAAGAAAAAUUAUGUAUUUGUCCUCAAUAAUUAACAAUUUCUUUGUAAUCAAUGGAGUUAUAUUAAUUUAAUGAGGAGAAUGUUAAAAAAUUAUAUUAAAUUACUUGAAAAAGAAAUGAAAUUAGGUUUCACAAAAUAUCUCUGCCUGUGUAGACUUAAAAUUUAGUUCACUAAUGACAGUGUUUAUCCAGUACAAUGUUUAAUAAUAAACAAUAUAAAUGUACACAGGUUGAUCCAAGUGAUUCAUAAGAAGUUUGUAGAUAAUUAAAGGAAAUAUCAGCCAGAAGUUUUAGUUGCAACAUUAUUCUCAAUAUGUUGCACUUUGCACAAUUUGAGACUAUGAUAAUCACCAUAAUUAAGACAAAAGUAUAUUAAAGAAAGUGUAUUAUUAAGAAAGAAGAUUUAAUUAGAAUUUUUGAUAUUUGGAUCAUUUUCCGGAAAGGGCUCAUCAAGACCGAUUUUCUUCAGCUACAAGAGGAUUAUCAUAGAUAUUUAACAUGUUUUAAUUUCCAUAAAAAUGCUAAUAUCACACGGAAUAGUACAUCGGAUAUAGGACAAUUUAAAAUUAUGUAACAUACGAAAUGGUUCUACAAUUGUAUACAUAUUAUGUAUAUGCUAAGAUUUAUCAUUCUGUUGUGUUAAUUUUAUUAUACUUCAGAUCAAUUUUGUUACCAUUGUCAAAAAUAAGGUUUAUAACCUGCUGCUCCUUGAACAUUGGGGUUGUUAAUUUGACA
Aethina tumida (small hive beetle) is the source of this 1807-nucleotide long non-coding RNA. RefSeq lists it as uncharacterized. NCBI's taxonomy places the organism in Eukaryota, Metazoa, Arthropoda, Insecta, Coleoptera, Nitidulidae. The transcript has 5 exons. The record is from RefSeq and is a predicted model, not a curated record.